This 1400-nucleotide long non-coding RNA is filed under the name Salmo salar (Atlantic salmon). Its description in RNAcentral is "lncRNA (ENSSSAG00000102756.1)". Lineage: Eukaryota; Metazoa; Chordata; Actinopteri; Salmoniformes; Salmonidae. The record is from RNAcentral.
GAGGCCUCACAGUCACUCUGCGGUAUUUAAAGAUACCCCUCUUUCAUUUAUUUAAUUGAUCUUGAUAUAAAGGUACCUCUCAUCUAUUUAAUUGAUCUUUAUUUAAAGAUGCCUGUCAUCUAUUUAAUUAAUCUUUGUUUCAAUCAGAAUGACAUCUCAUGGGAAAGGGAGGGUUAGUUACAGCAAAUCCCCUAAUCCUUCUCAUGGAGACACACUUAUGGGAAUAGGAUAAUUGUGUUAACCAUUGUAUCAUAAUGUAGGAGGUAUAAUAGAAUGUAGGAGGUGUAAUAUAAUGUAGGAGGUAUAAUAGAAUGUAGGUGGUAUAAUAGAAUGUCGGAGGUAUAUCAGAAUGUAGAAGGUAUAAUAGAAUGUAGGUGGUAUAAUAGAAUGUAGGAGGUAUAUCAGAAUGUAGGAAGUAUAAUAGAAUGUGGGUGGUAUAAUAGAAUGUAGGAGGUAUAAUAUAAUGUAGGAGGUAUAUCAAAAUGUAGGAGGUAUAAUAGAAUGUAGGUGGAAUAAUAUAUUGUAGGAGGUAUAUCAGAAUGUCGGAGGUAUAAUAGAAUGUAGGUGGUAUAAUAUAUUGUAGGAGGUAUAUCAGAAUGUAGGAGGUAUAAUAGAAUGUAGGAGGUAUAAUAGAAUGUAGGUGGUAUAAUAUAUUGUAGGAGGUAUAUCAGAAUGUAGGAGGUAUAAUAGAAUGUAGGAGGUAUAAUAGAAUGUAGGAGGUAUGUCAGAAUAUAGGAGGUAUAAUAGAAUGUAGGAGGCAUAUCAGAAUGUAGGAGGUAUAUCAGAAUGUAGAAUGUAUAAUAGAAUGUAGAAAGUAUAAUAGAAUGUAGUAGGUAGUGUAAAGGGUCCUAUGUGUGGCUGGUGUAGAGAGUCAGGCGCAGGACAGCAGAUAUGAGUAAUCAACGUACUUUUACUUAUAAUGUCAAAUAUACAAAGUAACAAAUACACGCACACCAUGACAGACCGAAAAUACAAUAAACAAUCACUCACAAAAACCCAUGGGGGAACAGAGGGUUAAAUAAUGAAACAGUAAUUGUGGGAUUGAAAUCAGGUGUGUAAAACAAAGACAAAACAAAUGGAAAAUGAAAAGUGGAUCGGCGGUGGCUAGAAAGCCGGUGAUUUCGACCGCCAACCGCCGUCCGAACAACGAGAGGGACCGACUUGUGCAUUCAGAAAGUAUUCAGAACCUUUCCCUUUUCCACAUUUUGUUACGUUACUGUCACAAGUAUCUUCGUCUUCUGACGAUAAUGCGAAAUCGUCAUCAGAAAAGGUAGAUCAAUACGCAGCAGGUGUGCAGUUGUUCAUUUUGAACAUUUAAUUAAAUCAACACGAAUACAAAAACAACAAACAAGAAAACGAACGAUAAACUGACAGUCUGCAAAGCAUAGGCUCAACACAGA